CAGUAGCCGCGGGAAUACGAAGGGGGCUAGCGUUGUUCGGAAUUACUGGGCGUAAAGGGCGCGUAGGCGGCCAUUCAAGUUAGAUGUGAAAGCCCUGGGCUCAACCUAGGAAUUGCACUUGAUACUGUUUGGCUUGAGUUCGGGAGAGGUGAGUGGAAUUCCCAGUGUAGAGGUGAAAUUCGUAGAUAUUGGGAAGAACACCAGUGGCGAAGGCGGCUCACUGGACCGACACUGACGCUGAGGCGCGAAAGCGUGGGGAGCAGACAGGAUUAGAUACCCGCGUAGUCCCUGUCUCUUAUAC
RNAcentral lists this ribosomal RNA (301 nucleotides) under uncultured bacterium. Its description in RNAcentral is "partial 16S ribosomal RNA". It matches the Rfam family "Bacterial small subunit ribosomal RNA", at positions 509 to 807 of the family's 1533-position model. The record is from RNAcentral.